RNAcentral lists this ribosomal RNA (253 nucleotides) under uncultured bacterium. RNAcentral describes it as "partial 16S ribosomal RNA". It matches the Rfam family "Bacterial small subunit ribosomal RNA", at positions 524 to 776 of the family's 1533-position model. The record is from RNAcentral.
UACGGAGGGUGCAAGCGUUAUCCGGAUUUAUUGGGUUUAAGGGGAGCGUAGGCGGGAUUGUAAGUCAGUGGUGAAAGCCCGUAGCUCAACUACGGAACUGCCAUUGAUACUGCAGACCUAGAGUACACUUGAAGUGGGCGGAAUGUGUCAUGUAGCGGUGAAAUGCUCAGAUAUGACACAGAACACCAAUUGCGAAGGCAGCUCACUAAAUUGUAACUGACGCUGAGGCUCGAUAGCGUGGGGAUCAAACAGG